RNAcentral lists this ribosomal RNA (433 nucleotides) under uncultured bacterium. RNAcentral's name for it is "partial 16S ribosomal RNA". It matches the Rfam family "Bacterial small subunit ribosomal RNA", at positions 29 to 507 of the family's 1533-position model. The record is from RNAcentral.
AACGAACGCUGGCGGCAUGCCUAACACAUGCAAGUCGAACGAGACCUUCGGGUCUAGUGGCGCACGGGUGCGUAACGCGUGGGAACCUGCCCUUAGGUUCGGAAUAACUCCCCGAAAGGGGUGCUAAUACCGGAUAAUGUCUUCGGACCAAAGAAUUAUCGCCUUUGGAUGGGCCCGCGUUGGAUUAGCUAGUUGGUAGGGUAAAAGCCUACCAAGGCGACGAUCCAUAGCUGGUCUGAGAGGAUGAUCAGCCACACUGGGACUGAGACACGGCCCAGACUCCUACGGGAGGCAGCAGUGGGGAAUAUUGGGCAAUGGGCGAAAGCCUGAUCCAGCAAUGCCGCGUGAGUGAUGAAGGCCUUAGGGUUGUAAAGCUCUUUUACCCGGGAUGAUAAUGACAGUACCGGGAGAAUAAGCUCCGGCUAACUCCGUG